RNAcentral lists this ribosomal RNA (692 nucleotides) under Koellikerioides apicalis. Its description in RNAcentral is "partial 28S ribosomal RNA". It matches the Rfam family "Eukaryotic large subunit ribosomal RNA", at positions 343 to 829 of the family's 3401-position model. The record is from RNAcentral. Lineage: Eukaryota; Metazoa; Platyhelminthes; Trematoda; Azygiida; Didymozoidae.
AACAAGUACCGUGAGGGAAAGUUGAAAAGUACUCUGAAGAGAGAGUAAACAGUACGUGAAACCGCUCAGAGGUAAACGGGUAGAGUUGAACUGCAAGCCUUGGAGAUUCAGCUGAUGAACGUGGUAUGAGCUUGGUUAUAUCAGCCGGCUGUGGGGGUCUGCUUAAUUGCAGGUUGCUGCCUUUGGGUAGUGAUAUGUGAUGCACUUUUCAUGUGUUGCAUGCCUUUGCUGACCGGGCCAGUUCGUCAGUGCACUUCUUCAUGGUAUUCACCACGACCGACGCUGCUGUCAGCCUACUUCACCAACCGCAGGUAGCUCAUUCGUUUUCGGAUGUUUGAGUGUAAUAGCAUGGUGUAGUGUGUUGUGCAGUGCGUCGGAGACGGCGGCACUUAAUGAGCCAACAGUCUGUGGUGUAGUGGUAAGCUCUCUACCCGACCCGUCUUGAAACACGGACCAAGGAGUUUAACAUGUGCGCGAGUCAUUGGGUUCACGAAACCUACAGGCGCAGUGAAAGUAAAUGUUCGGCUUGUCUGAACUGAGGUGAGAUCUUGUCGUUUCUCAUGCGCGGUACUACCAAGCUACGAGCGGCAGGCGCAUCACCGGCCCGUCCCAUGGUGUGGUCAUGGUCCUUCGGGGCUAUGCGUCACCGGGGCGGCGCAUGAGCGUACACGUUGAGACCCGAAAGAUGGUGA